Molecule: ribosomal RNA, 460 nt
Filed under: uncultured bacterium
Lineage: Bacteria
Description: partial 16S ribosomal RNA
Rfam family: Bacterial small subunit ribosomal RNA
Source: RNAcentral
CCUACGGGAGGCAGCAGUGAGGAAUAUUGGUCAAUGGGCGCAAGCCUGAACCAGCCAAGCAGCGUGAAGGAUGACGGCCCUAUGGGUUGUAAACUUCUUUUAUAAGGGAAUAAAGUGAGGUACGUGUGUCGUUUUGAACGUAUAGUAUGAAUAAGGAUCGGCUAACUCCGUGCCAGCAGCCGCGGUAAUACGGAGGAUCCGAGCGUUAGCCGGAUGUAUUGGGUUUAAAGGGUGCGUAGGCGGGUUGUUAAGUCAGUUGUGAACGUUCGGGGCUCAACCGUGAAAUUGCAAUUGAUACUGGCAGUCUUGAGUACAGUUGAGGUAGGCGGAAUUGGUGGUGUAGCGGUGAAAUGCUUAGAGAGCACGAAGAACACCGAUUGCGAAGGCAGCUCACUAAACUGGCGCUGACGUUGAGGCACGAAAGCGUGGGUAGCAAACAGGAUUAGAUACCCGAGUAGUC